This 2606-nucleotide long non-coding RNA is filed under the name Marmota monax (woodchuck). The record is from RNAcentral. Lineage: Eukaryota; Metazoa; Chordata; Mammalia; Rodentia; Sciuridae.
GGGAGGUGCUUCAGAAUGCUGGGCACAGGCCAGAUGGAGUCAUUGGUCCCAAAGAGAAGAUUUGGGAGCUUCUGGACAGAAGGCCCUGGUAGAAUUCAUUCUGGUCAUCCUCCUGCCUCACGAAGCCCCAUCACUCAUCCUUCCCCAAUAUAUUAGGAAGGCCUGGCAUCUUGAACUGAGAUGUGGGACUGGGGUUAGGGAGUAGGAAAGAGGACUGUUGCUGGUGCUAGGCCUCACUGGGGAAUUUAGUUGUCCCCUAUGGAGGCCUUAAUUUCCCUGCCCCAAGGGCAGAGGGCCAGUGAAAAUGUUUCAACUGAGCAAGGGAGUAUUCUGAAUACUGUACAAAUAGUGUGUGGAGUACACAAACAUAUGAAUGGUUUCAGAACUUCCACUGCUGACCUCCCCCUGUUUCAUAGAAAACCCAAGAGGUUUUUCUAGAGAGGUGGAGGGGUAGGUAAAUGUGACAUUAAUGGAUCUCCUGAACCAUGGAGAGAAAAAGUGGCCUCUAGGUAAAACCAGGCCAGAAACCAGCCAUCUGCUGUUGACAGACAUGGAAUGCUACUUCACGCUCACACUCUUGAAAGAUGCUGGGAAUCUUACUGGGAACAAGACAGAUAGGCCCUGGCCCAGAGGGCCCAUAGUCUAGUAGAGAAAACAGAUAUUAACUACUAACGCAUGGAAUUAAUUAUGAUGGCCAUAGAAAUGUUAAGGAGGAACAUGAAGCCCAUGAGAAUGUACAGUCACAGACCUAGACUGGAGGGUCUUAAAAGUCACCUUGUCCAGCCCAGUACAUUUACAGAUAUGGGAAGGUGAGGAAGUUGACAGGGAUUGCCUAGUCAGUUCUCAAGAUGGGUCUAGAAACCACUUCUGACACCCUGUUCUGUUUUGAUUGGGCCGGGGAAUUGGUUUACAUUUGUGAUCAGGGCCAGCUUUAUCAACAUUGACUUUCGGUGGAUAGGAGAAGGGAGGGUAACUGUUCACAGCCUGAUGGGAGCUUCUUUCUACAAGUCCUGCAUCUUGUAGGUUGGAGCUAUUCUAAGUAUAAAGGGCGAGUCCAUUUUGAUGCCGUUUGUCCCUAGGUGGCCAGCAGAGAUACUAGAUGUGCUUGAGGCACAGCUAAGGAACUUAUGGGCUCUCAGUUGCAGCACUGCCUGCCCAGCUUUCCCUCACUCUGUUCUCUGAGUGGUCUAGGUUCCCACAGCCUCUCACUGGCCGGAUCUUCUUACUUUUCUCUGUUUGACCCCAGCCUUCACACUGCCUUCAGCCUGCCCUGGCCUCUGUAAUUACUGUCUGCUGAUAGGUAGUUUACUUGACCUUUCUGAGCAUCAUGUGUAAAUGAAUGUGGAGAAUAUCUCACAGGGUUUUAGGUCAGAGCCAUUAAAACAGUUAUGGCACCUAGCACAGUGCCUGGCACAUAUUCCCAGAUUAAUGUCCUUGAAGUACAUUAGGUAGUGAAAUUCAUGAUGUCUCCUUAUUACAUACGAAUAAAGAAGUAACCUUGUUAGAAUUCAAUUCAUCCAAGAUUUUGUUGACUGUUUUAUGCUAGUUCCUGUGCUGGGCACUGUGGUUCCAUAAUGGAUGAACCAUGAUCCCUGACUUUGGGGAGUUAAGAAUUUAGUAGAACAGACAUAUUUACAACCAAAUAUAAUGCAGUGUGAUAAGUGGCCCGCUAGGAACAAACACAAGGAGCCAUGGGAACACCGAGAGUGAAGAGCUAAGUCCCUUGCAUGCCAUUUGAGGCUGUCCUGCCCUCCCAGGCCUACCCCUCACUCUGUCCUUAGGCUAGUGCUCACAUUCCCCCAAAUACACGCUGCAGGACUUGAUUUUGACCUCCUCCGCUCCCUGUAGCCUGAGGCCAUCGCUCACUGUUCCUUUUGCUUGGAAUCCUCUUCCUCAUCUUUUCACUGCCCAAUUCUUACUAACUACUCUGGAGGCCCAUGUGCUUACCCCUAAUUCCACAGUCUCCCCUUCACUCCCACUUCCCAUGUUUUUAUUGGUGCAUUAUAGUUGUACACAAUGGUGGGAUUCCUUGUUACAUAAUCAUACAUGCACACAAUAGAACAAUAUAAUUUGGUCAAUAUCGUUCCCCAGUAUUUUUCCCCUCCCUCCCCUCCUUUUUCCCUGAUGCCUUUUCUCUACUUUAUUGAUCUCCCUUCAGUUUUCAUGAGACAUCCCCCAGCCACCUCUCUGUUCCUGUUUCCUCUCUAGUUCCCACAUGUUUGAGAAAGCAUAUGACUGUUGACUUUCUGAUUUUUGCUAUCUUAUUUAACAUAAUGGUCUGAAGUUCCAUCCAUUUUCCUGCAAAUGACACAAUUUCAUUCUUCCUUAUGACUGAAUAAAACUCUAAAAAAUAUAUAUCACAUUUUCUUUAUUCACUCAUCCUUUGAUGGACACCUAGACUGGGUUCCGUAGUUGGGCUAUUGUGAAUUGUACUGCUAUAAACAUGGGUAUUCAUGUAUCACUGUAGUAUGCUGACUUUAAUUCUUUAGGAUAAAUACCAAGGUAUAGCUGGGUCAUAUUGUGGUUCCAUUUCUAUUCUUAACUCCAUAGUCUUAAUCCAUCACCCAAACCAUUGUUCUUUACCAUUUGUUCCAAUUUUUCGAAAC